This 446-nucleotide ribosomal RNA is filed under the name uncultured organism. Its description in RNAcentral is "partial 16S ribosomal RNA". It matches the Rfam family "Bacterial small subunit ribosomal RNA", at positions 335 to 797 of the family's 1533-position model. The record is from RNAcentral.
ACUCCUGCGGGAGGCAGCAGUGGGGAAUAUUGGACAAUGGGCGCAAGCCUGAUCCAGCCAUGCCGCGUGAGUGAUGAAGGCCCUAGGGUUGUAAAGCUCUUUCACCGGUGAAGAUAAUGACGGUAACCGGAGAAGAAGCCCCGGCUAACUUCGUGCCAGCAGCCGCGGUAAUACGAAGGGGGCUAGCGUUGUUCGGAUUUACUGGGCGUAAAGCGCACGUAGGCGGACUAUUAAGUCAGGGGUGAAAUCCCGGGGCUCAACCCCGGAACUGCCUUUGAUACUGGUAGUCUUGAGUUCGAGAGAGGUGAGUGGAAUUCCGAGUGUAGAGGUGAAAUUCGUAGAUAUUCGGAGGAACACCAGUGGCGAAGGCGGCUCACUGGCUCGAUACUGACGCUGAGGUGCGAAAGCGUGGGGAGCAAACAGGAUGAGAUACCCCGGUAGUCCCA